RNAcentral lists this ribosomal RNA (253 nucleotides) under uncultured bacterium. Its description in RNAcentral is "partial 16S ribosomal RNA". It matches the Rfam family "Bacterial small subunit ribosomal RNA", at positions 524 to 776 of the family's 1533-position model. The record is from RNAcentral.
GACGAACCGUGCGAACGUUGUUCGGAAUCACUGGGCUUAAAGGGCGCGUAGGCGGGUUCGCAAGUCUGUGGUGAAAGCCUCCAGCUUAACUGGAGAAGUGCCGUGGAUACUGCGAAUCUUGAGGAGGGUAGGGGCAUCUGGAACGGUCGGUGGAGCGGUGAAAUGCGUUGAUAUCGACCGGAACUCCGGUGGCGAAGGCGAGGUGCUGGACCCUUUCUGACGCUGAGGCGCGAAAGCCAGGGGAGCAAACGGG